RNAcentral lists this ribosomal RNA (824 nucleotides) under uncultured eukaryote. RNAcentral describes it as "bacterial SSU rRNA". It matches the Rfam family "Eukaryotic small subunit ribosomal RNA", at positions 601 to 1455 of the family's 1831-position model. The record is from RNAcentral.
UUAUUUAUUUUUUUUCCCCUUAUAAGCUCGUACUUGGAUUUUUGGUUAAGAGGGCGCGGUCGGCCGUUUGGUCUGUACUGCGUCGUCUUGACUUCCUGAUGAGGACAUGCUCUUGGUUAACGCUGAUACAUGGAGUCAUCGUGGUUACUUUGAAAAAAUUAGAGUGUUCAAAGCGGGCUUACGCUUGAAUAUAUUAGCAUGGAAUAACACUAUAGGACUCCUGUCCUAUCUCGUUGGUCUCGGGAUGGGAGUAAUGAUUAAGAGGAACAGUUGGGGGCAUUCGUAUUUCAUUGUCGGAGGUGAAAUUCUUGGAUUUAUGAAAGACGAACUUCUGCGAAAGCAUUUGCCAAGGAUGUUUUCAUUAUUCAAGAACGAAAGUUGGGGGCUCGAAGAUGAUUAGAUACCAUCCUACCCUCAACCAUAAACGAUGCCGACUAGGGAUUGGUGGAUGUUAAUUGAUGACUUCACCAUCACCUUAUGAGAAAUCAAAGUUUUUGGGUUCCGGGGGGAGUAUGGUCGCAAGGCUGCAAACUUAAGGGUUGACGGAGGGUGACCACCAGGCGGGCAGCCGGCGGCUGACUCUCACCCCUCACGGGAAAUCUCACCAGGGACGUACACUGGAAGCAUUGCCACAGUGAAGCUCUUUCUGAUUCCGUGGGUAGUGGCACGUGGGCGUUCGUAAUUGGUGGGAGUGAUGGGGUUGGUUUACUCCCGACGACAAAAGAAAAUAUAUCCCGCUAAAUGCACGUACGGGGCCCCUUUUGGGGCGACUAUUGUUCUUAGUGGGACUGCCAACUCUUACUUGCACGAAAAAACAAGCGAGU